This is a long non-coding RNA of Octodon degus (degu), 537 nucleotides long. RefSeq lists it as uncharacterized. The record is from RefSeq and is a predicted model, not a curated record. Lineage: Eukaryota; Metazoa; Chordata; Mammalia; Rodentia; Octodontidae. The transcript has 2 exons.
AGACGCGGGCCGGUGGGCUGCCCGCCCGCACCGCCUCGGCGCCUUUGCGUGCGGCCUCCGGGCUUUCGGCCCGUGGUGACCCCGCUUGUGCACCCCUCGGCGAGCAUGAACUGUGGCGCUGCCAGCCCUGAGACGCGGUCGUUCGGCGGUGUCCGUGCGGGCGCGGCCCAAGCGCUGGGGACGAGGAGACGAACAGGGCUGGCCGCCCCAGCCGCAGGGGCGCUCCCGUAGCUGAACGCUGUGCCUCGAGGAAAUACCCAGGAUGGUUCUCCCUCCGAGCCGUCUGAUUUGUGCAAAUACACCUUGGCUGUGGGGCAGAUGUAGGAGCUCUCCAAGCCUCCCAAGCGCUGCGAUUACAUUGCACGCCACCACGCCCAGUCUCAGCCACCUUAUUUUAAAGGUUAAUGUAAAGGACCAGGAGCCAGGAGCCAGGAGCCAGGCUGGCGAAGGAUCGCAGCGAGCUCGAGGGCAGCCUGAAGUACUGGACUACGUAGUGAAUUCGAUGCCCACCUUAAGUACAAAGUGAGACUCGUCUCA